CCUACGGGCGGCUGCAGUGAGGAAUAUUGGUCAAUGGGCUUACGCCUGAACCAGCCAAGCCGCGUGAGGGAAGACUGCCCUAUGGGUUGUAAACCUCUUUUGUCAGGGAGCAACGCCGGCUACGUGUAGCCGGACUGAGAGUACCUGAAGAAAAAGCAUCGGCUAACUCCGUGCCAGCAGCCGCGGUAAUACGGAGGAUGCGAGCGUUAUCCGGAUUUAUUGGUUGAAAGGGGGGCGUAGGCGGGCGAGAAAGUUGAAUGUUAAAUCCACCGGUUUAACUGGUAGCUGCGUUCAAAACUGCUUGUCGUGAGUGAAGUAGAGGCAGGCGGAAUUCCUAGUGUAGCGGUGAAAUGCGUAGAUAUUAGGAGGAACACCAGUGGCGAAGGCGGCCUGCUGGGCUUUAACUGACGCUGAGGCUCGAAAGCGUGGGGAGCAAACAGGAUUAGAUACCCGGGUAGUC
Molecule: ribosomal RNA, 460 nt
Filed under: uncultured bacterium
Lineage: Bacteria
Description: partial 16S ribosomal RNA
Rfam family: Bacterial small subunit ribosomal RNA
Source: RNAcentral